Molecule: non-coding RNA, 34 nt
Filed under: Heterosigma akashiwo
Lineage: Eukaryota; Raphidophyceae; Chattonellales; Chattonellaceae
Source: RNAcentral
GUGAAAAAAAAAAAAAAAAAAAAAAAAAAAAAAA